GUAGUUUGACUCCGUGGCUACGAGGACGACGCUGGCGGCGUGCCUAACACAUGCAAGUCGAACGGACUGAUUCCCUUCGGGGAUGAAAGUUAGUGGCGGACGGGUGAGUAACGCGUGAGUAACCUGCCUUUCAGAGGGGGAUAACGUUUGGAAACGAACGCUAAUACCGCAUAACGUACAGUUGUCGCAUGGCAGCAGUACCAAAGGAGCAAUCCGCUGGAAGAUGGACUCGCGUCUGAUUAGAUAGUUGGCGGGGUAACGGCCCACCAAGUCGACGAUCAGUAGCCGGACUGAGAGGUUGAACGGCCACAUUGGGACUGAGACACGGCCCAGACUCCUACGGGAGGCAGCAGUGAGGGAUAUUGCACAAUGGGCGCAAGCCUGAUGCAGCAACGCCGCGUGAAGGAUGACGGUUUUCGGAUUGUAAACUUCUGUUCUUAGUGAUGAUAAUGACAUUAGCUAAGGAGAAAGCCACGGCUAACUACGUGCC
Molecule: ribosomal RNA, 490 nt
Filed under: uncultured organism
Description: SSU rRNA
Rfam family: Bacterial small subunit ribosomal RNA
Source: RNAcentral